AUGAGAAUGAGACGAUAAGUGGAGAAGAAAACGCAUUGAAGUUACGAAUGUGAGGAUGAAGCAUGGACACGUGAAAUGAAGAAGCCAAGAAGGGUACGUUGUAUGUAUGCUGAUUGCUGGCAACUGCAGUAUUUAAUGCUCUCAUGUCUUUAUUUCAAUUUUCAACUGAAUGGACGUUCGGUUCAUAGAUUUGGGUGAUUUAGAUAAUGCACACCACAACCUUUCAAAAUGAUAAAGGAUAGUAGGCUACAUUGGAAAAACUUGAUGUUUGGCUAAUGUUUGUUUUAAUUUGGGUAUAUCUUUUAUUAAUUAUAAAAAAGUUUAAUCUUUUAUAUAUAUUAUUUUAUAUCAUUGUAUAUAUUUUUGAUACCUUAUUGUUGAACGUCAUUUUUUUAUAGCACUCACAUAAUAUUUGUUCGUUUCUUUUAUUUUACGACUAUAAAUGUAAAAGAUUUAUCGGCUUUUAUAUUUCCAGAAAUAUGACAUGUUUUAAAAUAUGAUAAAUUAUAUAAGAGGAUUUAUAAAACAUUUAAGAUAGAUAAAUGAUAAAUUAAUUAAUUUAAAAAUAAUUUUUUUCAAAAGGUUGAUCUUUUGAAAAUGUUUUAUUGAAUAAAAGUUAAUGGAAAACUAAUGUGCCUAAAGGUAAUAUAAGUUUUUGAUCGCUUAACUAUGGAAAUCCAAAAAUUGGCGACAGCAUGAGUUUGAGAAGGUAUUAAAUUGUGUCAAGAGUUUUGGCUUUUGAUUUUGAACUUUUGAAAAAAAAAUAAUAAUAACAAAGAAAAAGAAAUCUUAAGAAAAGACAUUCUGACAAGUGGCGAUGAUUCAUCGAAACUAGUACAUGAACUUCCACCUCAAUAAUCAUUCAGGAUUCGAUAAUUUUGAUACAUAAGUGUUUAAGCUAUUGGUUCAUUGGAACGAAUGUUUGAGUAAUACAAGCGUUCUCAAGACAUGUUUGAUGUUUUAUUGACAUCGAACAUGCAAUUAAAGAAUACAACACAUGGAUCCUAUCUUGAGAAUGAGAUAUAUCCAAGUUGGACGGCAUUUAUGAAAUCAUUUUUCUGCAUCAUUACUGAUAAAAAGAAAAUGUUCAAGGCGGUACAAGAAUCAACGAUCAAGGACAUCCGAAGUGCUUUUGGGGUCCUCAAAUCAUAUUGGAGCAUAAUACAAUAUUUGGCACGGUCAAUGUCAUCGAACAAAACAUGGGAUAUAAAGUAUACUUACAUUAUAUUACACAAUAUGAUAUUGUAAGAUGAUGGUGUUGCGAUAUCUCCAAUUCGAAGAAGUGGACCCAAAAAUACUCCAUGAGUUGUGUAAUUUUCAUUCGUUUAACUUUUUUGUGAUUAUAUUGAGCAAUUCUACAUACUAUCUUUGGAUAACUA
RNAcentral lists this long non-coding RNA (1379 nucleotides) under Lactuca sativa (garden lettuce). RNAcentral describes it as "long non-coding RNA (LSAT_LNC007012)". Lineage: Eukaryota; Viridiplantae; Streptophyta; Magnoliopsida; Asterales; Asteraceae. The record is from RNAcentral.